UGUAUCCUACGGGGGGCAGCAGUGAGGAAUAUUGGUCAAUGGUCGGGAGACUGAACCAGCCACGCCGCGUGAAGGAGGAAGGUACAGAGAAUCGUAAACCUCUUUUGCCAGGGAACAAAGACUGGAACGCGUCCCCGGAUGAGUGUACCUGAAGAAAAAGCAUCGGCUAACUCCGUGCCAGCAGCCGCGGUAAUACGGAGGAUGCGAGCGUUAUCCGGAUUUAUUGGGUUUAAAGGGUGCGCAGGCGGUCUGUUAAGUCAGCGGUCAAAGCCCGGGGCUCAACCCCGGCCCGCCGUUGCAACUGG
RNAcentral lists this ribosomal RNA (305 nucleotides) under uncultured bacterium. RNAcentral describes it as "bacterial SSU rRNA". It matches the Rfam family "Bacterial small subunit ribosomal RNA", at positions 333 to 636 of the family's 1533-position model. The record is from RNAcentral.